UCCGUAACCAACAAGGAGUUUUUUAUGGCAACACUGUCUACUUUGCUCCGCCUAUCGGUCAUUGAAAAGAGGUUAUAUAACGACUUUACCGUAAUAGUAAAGACCAUUUUGAUCCCGAUUGCCGUGCUUGUGAGUAUGCUCGUAGAAUUUUAAGAUAUCUUCAGAUUGCCUUAUUUUCUUAAAUGUACAGUUGUGUGUUAUUUCUUUUGAUUUUAAUUGUUUGUGAAUUCGAAAUCAACGUGCUAUAGAAAUUAUGAAUAACGUGUGUUUAUUUAUUUUUGUGUUACUUGCAGUUAUUUAAAUUCUCGUCUUCUCAGAAACGUAGAAUGUAUUGUAUUGUUUUCUCUACGUAUAGUAGAAAAACAAGCUAUGGACCUCUUUUGUUUAAAAUGUUAAUUAUAGAAGUUGCAAAUUUGUGAGUAAAUUGCAAUAACUAUGAAUAAAUAUGGAAAUCAGAAACAAUUGUAGAAAUCUUAUUUGAUUAUUUUGAUAAGCAUGAUGCUUGUAGAUAUUCAGUUAGUAUUUGGAAAGCAUGUGGUACUGACUUGAAUUUUUGACCAUGAUGCUGGAUCUUAUGGAGAUUGGAUUUUAAUGGUAAGUUUGUUAAGAACUAAGAUUUUUAGAGUGAUUUAAUUUCUUUUUUGUAGGGUUUAGGUUGAAGUUGAACAUGGAGUUGCAUGUAUGGCCUGCCAACUCAUUUGUUCUGGCACGGUGGUUAAUUGCUUCACUGUCGAGAUCCUUGUCCAUUUGUUCUUUGGACAUCUUCCUCAGUUAGGGUUUGAAAGACUGAGGUGUGGAUGUGGUUUUGUAGUCAACGAGAAGCAUAUUUGGGUUCAAGAGAUGCCCAAUUCUUCAUCCGGAUUAAUCAAACGCCAAAAAGUAGACCUCAUCGUUCGGGGGUUUUUUUAUUAGUUGGUUCCGGUAUUAGUACGGUAUUACUAAUGAUCAGAAUGAUCAGAUGUGAUUUUGGUGGAUAGGGGAAGUAUGCUGAUGGAGCUUGGUGCCAAAGAAGAUAGUUAGAUGAGUCGGCAUCCGAAAUUUUCCAAUUAAAUUUUAUUGUGAUAUUUUAUUUUUAUUAAAAAAAAAGCUUAGUAAUGUAAUUUGUUUGAAUUUGUUGUAAUUUGUUAACUGUGGCUCUGUUUCAUUGACUUUUGUUAAAAUUGUGUUGGUGUGAAUUGUUGAAUAAUAUGUGGACAUAAAGUUCCAUUAGGUGACGAUAAGCAUUGGUAUACAUCCCGAUGAAAAUGAAGAUGAUCUAUGUAAACUCGUCAAUGGAAACGUUAUUUUCCUGCCAUAUUCUAUUGACUAAUUGUUGCUUUUUUUUUUAAUGCAUAUUGUUUUAAAUGCUGUCAUAAAAAUGCUAUUGUAUCAAUAAAUAAAAGUAAUUAAAAUUUCA
This 1396-nucleotide long non-coding RNA is filed under the name Daphnia magna. Its description in RNAcentral is "uncharacterized LOC123475828, transcript variant X3". Lineage: Eukaryota; Metazoa; Arthropoda; Branchiopoda; Diplostraca; Daphniidae. The record is from RNAcentral.